RNAcentral lists this ribosomal RNA (454 nucleotides) under uncultured bacterium. RNAcentral's name for it is "partial 16S ribosomal RNA". It matches the Rfam family "Bacterial small subunit ribosomal RNA", at positions 28 to 507 of the family's 1533-position model. The record is from RNAcentral.
GAUGAACGCUGACAGAAUGCUUAACACAUGCAAGUCUACUUGAACUUCGGUUUGGGUGGCGGACGGGUGAGUAACGCGUAACGAACUUACCUCACAGUUAGGGACAACAUUUGGAAACGAAUGCUAAUACCUGAUAUUAUGAUUUUAGGGCAUCCUAAGAUUAUGAAAGCUAUAUGCGCUGUGAGAGAGCUUUGCGUCCCAUUAGCUAGUUGGAGAGGUAACGGCUCACCAAGGCGAUGAUGGGUAGCCGGCCUGAGAGGGUGAACGGCCACAAGGGGACUGAGACACGGCCCUUACUCCUACGGGAGGCAGCAGUGGGGAAUAUUGGACAAUGGACCAAAAGUCUGAUCCAGCAAUUCUGUGUGCACGAUGACGUUUUUCGGAAUGUAAAGUGCUUUCAGUUGGGAAGAAAAAAAUGACGGUACCAACAGAAGAAGUGACGGCUAAAUACGUG